This 306-nucleotide ribosomal RNA is filed under the name Escherichia coli. RNAcentral describes it as "partial 16S ribosomal RNA". It matches the Rfam family "Bacterial small subunit ribosomal RNA", at positions 1 to 301 of the family's 1533-position model. The record is from RNAcentral. Lineage: Bacteria; Pseudomonadati; Pseudomonadota; Gammaproteobacteria; Enterobacterales; Enterobacteriaceae.
UUAAAUUGAAGAGUUUGAUCAUGGCUCAGAUUGAACGCUGGCGGCAGGCCUAACACAUGCAAGUCGAACGGUAACAGGAAGCAGCUUGCUGCUUUGCUGACGAGUGGCGGACGGGUGAGUAAUGUCUGGGAAACUGCCCGAUGGAGGGGGAUAACUACUGGAAACGGUAGCUAAUACCGCAUAACGUCGCAAGACCAAAGAGGGGGACCUUCGGGCCUCUUGCCAUCGGAUGUGCCCAGAUGGGAUUAGCUAGUAGGUGGGGUAAAGGCUCACCUAGGCGACGAUCCCUAGCUGGUCUGAGAGGAU